Molecule: ribosomal RNA, 252 nt
Filed under: uncultured bacterium
Lineage: Bacteria
Description: partial 16S ribosomal RNA
Rfam family: Bacterial small subunit ribosomal RNA
Source: RNAcentral
UACGUAGGUCCCGAGCGUUGUCCGGAUUUAUUGGGCGUAAAGCGAGCGCAGGUGGUUUAUUAAGUCUGGUGUAAAAGGCAGUGGCUCAACCAUUGUAUGCAUUGGAAACUGGUAGACUUGAGUGCAGGAGAGGAGAGUGGAACUCCAUGUGUAGCGGUGAAAUGCGUAGAUAUAUGGAAGAACACCAGUGGCGAAAGCGGCUCUCUGGUCUGUAACUGACGCUGAGGUUCGAAAGCGUGGGUAGCAAACAGG